This 450-nucleotide ribosomal RNA is filed under the name uncultured bacterium. RNAcentral describes it as "bacterial SSU rRNA". It matches the Rfam family "Bacterial small subunit ribosomal RNA", at positions 29 to 524 of the family's 1533-position model. The record is from RNAcentral.
AGCGAACGCUGGCGGCAGGCUUAACACAUGCAAGUCGAGCGGGCACUUCGGUGUCAGCGGCAGACGGGUGAGUAACACGUGGGAACGUACCCUUCGGUUCGGAAUAACGCUGGGAAACUAGCGCUAAUACCGGAUACGCCCUUUUGGGGAAAGGUUUACUGCCGAAGGAUCGGCCCGCGUCUGAUUAGCUAGUUGGUGGGGUAAUGGCCUACCAAGGCGACGAUCAGUAGCUGGUCUGAGAGGAUGAUCAGCCACACUGGGACUGAGACACGGCCCAGACUCCUACGGGAGGCAGCAGUGGGGAAUAUUGGACAAUGGGCGCAAGCCUGAUCCAGCCAUGCCGCGUGAGUGAUGAAGGCCUUAGGGUUGUAAAGCUCUUUUGUCCGGGACGAUAAUGACGGUACCGGAAGAAUAAGCCCCGGCUAACUUCGUGCCAGCCGCCGCGGUAAC